RNAcentral lists this ribosomal RNA (318 nucleotides) under uncultured bacterium. RNAcentral's name for it is "bacterial SSU rRNA". It matches the Rfam family "Bacterial small subunit ribosomal RNA", at positions 46 to 389 of the family's 1533-position model. The record is from RNAcentral.
UAGGCCUAACACAUGCAAGUCGAGCGAGACCUUCGGGUCUAGCGGCGGACGGGUGAGUAACGCGUGGGAACGUGCCCUUUGGUUCGGAAUAGCCCCGGGAAACUGGGAGUAAUACCGGAUGAGCCCUACGGGGGAAAGAUUUAUCGCCGAAGGAUCGGCCCGCGUUGGAUUAGGUAGUUGGUGGGGUAAUGGCCUACCAAGCCGACGAUCCAUAGCUGGUUUGAGAGGAUGAUCAGCCACACUGGGACUGAGACACGGCCCAGACUCCUACGGGAGGCAGCAGUGGGGAAUCUUAAAAAAUGGGGGAAACCCUGAUCU